Molecule: non-coding RNA, 135 nt
Organism: Gossypium raimondii (Peruvian cotton)
Lineage: Eukaryota; Viridiplantae; Streptophyta; Magnoliopsida; Malvales; Malvaceae
Source: Rfam
AAGAAAAGAGGCUGUGAAGUUAGCCAAGGUGACUGCCUGACACCAAACAAGGGUUUUAGAGGGAUUAGAAAUUGAAACCUUUAGGAAAGAUGCAGGCAAGUCAUCCUUGGCUACCAAACAGAAAACUCUUUAUCU